CCUACGGGUGGCUGCAGUGGGGAAUAUUGGACAAUGGGGGCUACCCUGAUCCAGCCAUGCCGCGUGUGUGAAGAAGGCCCUCGGGUUGUAAAGCACUUUCAGUGAGGAAGAACGCCUGGUGGUUAAUACCCAUCAGGAAAGACAUCACUCACAGAAGAAGCACCGGCUAACUCCGUGCCAGCAGCCGCGGUAAUACGGAGGGUGCGAGCGUUAAUCGGAAUUACUGGGCGUAAAGCGCGCGUAGGUGGCUUGAUAAGCCGGUUGUGAAAGCCCCGGGCUCAACCUGGGAACGGCAUCCGGAACUGUCAAGCUAGAGUGCAGGAGAGGAAGGUAGAAUUCCCGGUGUAGCGGUGAAAUGCGUAGAGAUCGGGAGGAAUACCAGUGGCGAAGGCGGCCUUCUGGACUGACACUGACACUGAGGUGCGAAAGCGUGGGUAGCAAACAGGAUUAGAUACCCUAGUAGUC
This 465-nucleotide ribosomal RNA is filed under the name Vreelandella stevensii. RNAcentral describes it as "partial 16S ribosomal RNA". It matches the Rfam family "Bacterial small subunit ribosomal RNA", at positions 338 to 795 of the family's 1533-position model. The record is from RNAcentral. Lineage: Bacteria; Pseudomonadati; Pseudomonadota; Gammaproteobacteria; Oceanospirillales; Halomonadaceae.